RNAcentral lists this long non-coding RNA (5518 nucleotides) under Olea europaea (common olive). Its description in RNAcentral is "long non-coding RNA (OEUR_LNC012609)". Lineage: Eukaryota; Viridiplantae; Streptophyta; Magnoliopsida; Lamiales; Oleaceae. The record is from RNAcentral.
UGAUUUGAUAUUAAUUACUAAUACAGCAUUAAGAGGUGCUGCCACUCUAAGAGCAAGAUUACAUAAGGUGCAUGGACCUGCAAUUGCGCUGAAUGACGAAAAUGUUCAAAUCAGCACAGAAUCAAAUACCUUAGCAGCAUUAGAUUUUGUUACAAGAGGGGAAGAAAUUCUUAAAUGCACAAGGAAAGGUAAUGAUACAGUGAAUGUACUUAUGCACUAACAGAGAGAUUGUAUUAAUUUUUAUGAUAAUAAAAUCAUGGUUUUUACAGGAGAUCUCCACUGGAAGCUAGUCUCAUUCAACAUAAAUUCAAAUUUACAGGUAAAAAUUUUGAACACUGCCAUAUUCUCAUAACAUUCACUUACGCUUCCUGUUGAUGUGGAAGGGAUAGUUGGUUUGGUUCCUUUCCUUAAACCCCCUGGCUUGUAGAUGAUUUGGAUUAAUGCACACCUGCAGGACCAUAAAUGAAUCAAGAGGUAGCAUUGGGUCCUGUGUCUAAUGUCUAUACUUAGGUGUCAAUGCCAUUGUAUGAUACAUUGUUUAUAUUGUUGUGUAAAUAUUGCAAUAUACUGAGCAACAAAAAUGUAUGAAGACUAGUUGAGUUUUCAUUAAUAUUUCUGUCUGAGUUGGUGUUUCUUGGAAAGUUCAAGACUAGGUUACUCUAAGUCUUGGAGAGUUAAUUAUAUUAUCUCUGUUCUGAACCAUAUGGACUUUACCAAAAAUUACCUGCCCAGAAUAAAUAUAAAUACCUUCAUUUUUAGUUCCAUUUUUGUUCAUGAACUGGCUAUUGCUAUGAUUGAAUCAGACUGCUAUAAUGUUGUACAACCAGUGAACAAACCGUCUCUCUAUGCUAUGCAAUUGUAGUACUGCUACCCAAACUAGGUCAUUGACAGGUUUUAAAAAUAGGGGGACACAUGGUGCAGCAUCAUUGGAUAGAUAAGGGGAAAAAAUUAUCCACGUUGGCUGUACCUGUUAAAGCCCGUUUUUAAUCCCCGUCUGAGUAGCAUUACUCGUGCAAUUGAAGGAGUCGUAUGCUUAGAAUUUCAGAUUUAUGUUGUUCUUUUCCUUCUUUAGUAUGCAACUUAAAAACUAGACUUGUCUCUCAAAAGCCGACUCAUUUUUCAAUCAACCGCGGAAUGCAUAAAGGAAUGCGCAUCGCUCAACCCAGUUUCAUGCUGGAGGCGUUUUUGGUGAUCUCGACCGGGGACAACUAGAUCGAAGGAUUGAAGGAGACAUAUGCUUAGAAUUUCAGAUUUAUUUAGGGGGAUGUCCUCAAUUGAGAUUGCAAUUAAUUUUAAAAGUCAUUCUAAAUUUAUGUAUCUUCAAUUGAGAUUUUAUUAAAUUUUAAUUAAAUUCAUUAAAGUUUAGGUGUACCCAAUUGAAAUUUUAAUGAAAUCUUUUAAAAUUUAAGUAUUCUCAGUAAUUAGUGGAUUUAUAAAGAUUUCAUUGAUAGAAAGAUUUUAAAAGAUUUGGAUGGAUUUCAAGUUAAAAAAUACAUAUAAGUAAAUUUUUAAAAAUUUCAUCAUAUUUAAUGAGAUUCUUAUUAAAUUUGUAAGAAUCUAUUUAAAUCCACCAAAUUCAUUAGAAUUUAUAAUUAUUUAAAAUUCAUCAAAAUCUUAGUUGAGAACACUCAUGUAGUUCAUUUCCUUCCUUAGUGUUCUCUUUCGUUGGGCGUGUAACUAACUGUGUUGUUCACACCAUCGCGAAGAACGCUCUCUUAUAUCCCCAUAACUUGGCCUGGUUUGAGGAGUCGUGGAACUUUAAAAUUUCAUCAUAUUUAAUGAGAUUCUUAUUAAAUUUGUAAGAAUCUAUUUAAAUCCACCAAAUUCAUUAGAAUUUAUAAUUAUUUAAAAUUCAUCAAAAUCUUAGUUGAGAACACUCAUGUAGUUCAUUUCCUUCCUUAAUGUUCUCUUUCGUUGGGCGUGUAACUAACUGUGUUGUUCACACCAUCGCGAAGAACGCUCUCUUAUAUCCCCAUAACUUGGCCUGGUUUGAGGAGUCGUGGAACUUGUAAUUCGUGAUAUUGCUGAAAGUUGGAGCUCUUGUCAUUCUUUAUUCUGAACUUGGCCUAUUUUAUUUAGAGGAAACGAGUCCAAUCAAGAUUGUAAUUCAGUGUUAUCUCUAACCAUUUAAAGAUUUAGACGAUACCGUCCCCAAGUAAAAAUCUAUAGUGUUUUAUACUGUGCUUGUGAAAUUACUGCCUACUCUAAUAAAAGGAUAUAUUCUUACGACAUUUUUAAUAAAGUUUGCUUUGAAUCAAGGAACUUUAGUCACUUUUACCAGGGCCUGUGAAACUGCAGAUUCUCCCCUAUACCACUUUUACAAAGAGGUGAGAUGAAAAGAUAACUGAAGCAAAGCACCUCUACAAGUUUCAUCAUUUCAAUCAGUAAAAAAGUUUAUUAAAGUAGACAAGUGCCCAUCCUAACCUACCCUAUAAGCCGAAAAUAGCAUUUGUCAUUAGUGCACAAUUGUUUUCUUAAAACAUGAUUACUUAAAGCAAUAUGAUUUAGGAGAGUCCCACUUUCUUGAUUGCCUAAAAGUUAGAAAACUACAAUAGAUCCUCAAUGUAGAUAAAAAAUAAUCACGCUUUCACUUCAUAUAGUUGCUUGACUUUGAGGGGUUGUUUUUGUUUUGAGUUGUGUUCAAAAGAGUGGUUGUAUACCGAUCAAUGUUAUCAUUUAUUCUAGUCGAAACCCUGUUCUCUAUGGAUCCUUUACCACAUAGUGCACGAUGAUUUUUAUUUUCUCGAUGUGAAUAUCUAUUCAAAGAGUGUAUUUCCCAUUAGCUAGAAUCAAAAUACAGGAGAAUAUGACCAACCUCCCAAUCCCACAAUGUACGGAUGAUAGCAAUGAAUCAAGAAAGUGCACAAUAUGCUCUGACCUUGAUUUUCCCUACUUUUUAGGAGGAGAUGACGAAUCAAAUUUUCAUACACGCACCCACACCCGUAUAGACCUCAGCUUCCUCUUCAGGUUGUAAUACUCGACAUUACCCUCAAUGAUGCAAGCUAGCUAAGAAGCAUGGACACGUACCAGAACACGUGUAGGAGUGUCACGACUACCUAUAUUCUACUUGAGAGAGAUUCUCAAGAGCAUGAUUUCCACUAGAGUCCGGCAACUUAAGACUUGCUAAAUAUACUUUUAAAGUAUAUUCUUGCUGACCGCUGAUUAUAGUUCAGGGAAACAUGUAAUGGAGGGCCCUAUUUUUUGACUUUAAACAGUGAUAAUGGGGAGAAAAAGGAUUCCUUAGUCAUAAUUAAGCCCGCCGCUCAAGAAAUUUAUAGCCUUUUAUGCACAUAUAAAGCGGAAAAAAAAGAAAAAAAGAAAGAAUGGAUAUGGAAAUUAAAGCAGACACUGAGAAAUUGGAAGACAUGAUUUAUCUCAACUUUAUUUGAGACCUUUCAGGUAUAAAGAAAACAAAAAUGUACUUCCACUCAGAAUCAUUCUUUUGAUUUUAUUCACUUAAUAAAUUAGCUUCUUAGUAUAUAAAGAUCAGAUUAUUUCUCCUUCCCUACAUCAUCUUCCUCUGAAGCUUGUUUUCAUCAAGUGGUAUAGACAAAACACAUCAAGAGUAAGUCUAGUGAUCAAAAUUUCAGCUUAAUUACAAUGAGUAAAAGUUGAUAAGCAAGAACCUACCAAGUUAUUUUUGUACUUUAUGACUGUUAACAGUGUUCAAAUGCUCCGGUGGCUCGGAAUUCAAGUCAAAUAGGCUGGAAAACAUUGAGGAAGACAAUGAUGCAAGUUGGCUGCCAGCAAUGUGCCCCCCUCCGGAAACUCCAACAGAGUCCAUGGAGUUCUUGGCUAGAUCAUGGAGUCUGUCUGCAAAGGAACUGUCGAAUGCUCUUUGCCAUGUCCAAGUCGUGAAGCCAUCUUCAUGCUCUCCGGGCGGUUCUGCUCGAGCUGACAAUGGAAGCUCUUUGCUCCCCCUGCAGGAACCUGUACGUAUUUCAAAUUUUAUCAUUCCAAUUUAGUACUCCUGUGAACAGUAAAAGCAUGCUUGAUACAUAGUAUUCAACAAUAUUAAGAGUACAAUAAACAAGAUUUUAGAAUACUAUUGUGUAAUGUCAAAUCUACCUCAAAGAACACAACAUAAAAGUAAACAAAACUAUAUAGAUUUCUCUUAUUAUUUGUUUACCCAGUUUUCCCAUUUUCUUGAAGAAUCAACCAUUACCAGCUUCGGAGAGUCCUCCAUUAUCUCCAAGAGGAAGCGAUGAGACAAAGGUAAUUCCUCCAAAGUCAUUCUUGUAAAUACAAUAAAUGCUUCGAGUAAAGCAUUCACUUACUCUUAUAACACCAGUCGAAAGUAGGGUAAGCACACUUUUUCAAUGGGUUAGGUUCUAGGAACAUUAAUAUCUCUAGACUAAUGCAAAAUAACACAAUCUAGACACUUUCUUCAUAUAGUUUCAUUCUAGAUGCAAAAUAGCAUUGACUUGAGCACCAAUUCAUACAUAUCUUAUGUCUGAAUGCAUCAUGUUCCGAGGAUUAUUUACGAUCAGUUCAAUCUAUACAGGAAUUGCUUCAACUGCAUCAAGCUUUCAACCAGGAGCUUCUUUCUAAUCAACAGUUGAUAAGAAAUGGGGUAAGAAAUUUUAAGCUCAACCAACAUAACAUCAUAUAAGAAGCCAUAAACAGAUUCAGGAUUCUCCUGAUCACUGUUAUUGUCUAACAGCUCUACUGGAGCAUUAUCAGGAGCAAGAAAGUAGGUAGAUGUUUAAAAGAUCAAAAAGAGCGGAAAAGGCAGGAGAAUAGAGCUCACAAUGCUCAAUUGCACGCAGCAAUAUCUGUGGCAGGGGUUGCAGCUGCAGUGGCUGCCCUUGCAGCCUCAUCAAUGACCUCUCCAGAAAAAGUAGCCGCCCAAACUAAGAAACCUACUGGAAUUGCAUCUGCAGCUGCACUUGUUGCAUCUCACUGCAUAGAAGUUGCAGAAGAUAUGGGAGCUGAUCAUGAACAAAUCCUAUCAGUCGUGAAUUCAGCAAUCAGUGCAAGGACUAAUGGCGAUAUAAUGACACUUACUGCUGGAGCUGCUACAGGUGUAAAUUUAAUUGCUGUCAUAGAUUCCAUGAUCUGAAUCUAAAAAAUCAAUCAAAGUUCACAAAUGGGAACAAAUUUAUUGGUUUUUCUGUAAGUGUAGUUAAGGUAGCUUAAUGAAAGACCAAGACAGAGUACAAAAGACCAAACUCACGUAACCUGACUGGAUAAUUUUUAAUGAGAUUACUAGUUAUUUGUGAUGAAUUGCUGCUCACAAGAAACUACCUCUCAUACAAAGGAAUCAAAAGCUAAUCUAUCAUACUAUAUUCUGAUUUGAUAUUAAUUACUAAUACAGCAUUAAGAGGUGCUGCCACUCUAAGAGCAAGAUUACAUAAGGUGCAUGGACCUGCAAUUGCGCUGAAUGACGAAAAUGUUCAAAUCAGCACAGAAUCAAAUACCUUAGCAGCAUUAGAUUUUGUUACAAGAGGGGAAGAAAUUCUUAAAUGCACAAGGAAAGGUAAUGAUACAGUGAAUGUACUUAUGCACUAACAGAGAG